UAUAAUCCAGCAAAUAAUUAUAUGGAGUAGUCUCAUUUCAAUAUUUAAGUAUCUUUCAUGAAUUCUCUGAAAUUGACCAUGAUCCUCUACCCCAAUAAUAGUUUCUAUUCUUGUAGUUCUAUCUCUUCUACUAUCCCGCAGCUCACCUAUGGUUGGAAGUUUUAAAAUUUCUCCUAAUAUUUUAUCAUCCAAAUAAAUUUUUUUUCCCUUAACUGAAAAUAAUACAGUAUAU
Molecule: long non-coding RNA, 232 nt
Filed under: Elaeis guineensis (African oil palm)
Lineage: Eukaryota; Viridiplantae; Streptophyta; Magnoliopsida; Arecales; Arecaceae
Description: long non-coding RNA (EGUI_LNC035612)
Source: RNAcentral